Molecule: long non-coding RNA, 659 nt
Filed under: Solanum tuberosum (potato)
Lineage: Eukaryota; Viridiplantae; Streptophyta; Magnoliopsida; Solanales; Solanaceae
Description: long non-coding RNA (STUB_LNC000740)
Source: RNAcentral
UUUCAACUAGAAUUCAUUAGCUCUUGAUUGGUUGUUAUUCUAUUUAUUUCCAUGUGUUGAAAAUAAUAAGUUGAAUCAAUAUGUCCAUUAUUAUCAUAUACUGAUUCUAUUUUUUUUUUCUUUUGCGUAUGUGAUAUUCCGAGAGAAUCCAUUUUGGUUUCGACCUUUUUUUCUCCAUUUGCAUUUUCGGUUGGGCCACCAUAGGCCCAAACACGAGUCAUUUGCAAUUCGGUAUUUGUUCGAAUCAUAUCGGCAACCAAUAUAGAACAGUGAAGCUGAAAUAUGGUUCCGGAAAGCUGAAACAACCUGAGAUACAGCCUGUAUACAUAGAUAUACAACGGGACAUACUGAUAUACAGGUUAAAACGCAGCAGCCACAGGUCAAAAAAUAAAGGAUGGGGUCGGAAACUGAAAUACAGGUCCUAGAAUCUCAGAAAAAUGGGUUGUAUACAUCCGAUAUACACGGAUAUACACCGGAUAUAUACAAAAACGGGUUUAAGAUUAAACCCCAAAAUUUCAGCGAAUUUGGCCCAAAAAGAGGCCCAAAUUCAAUUUCUCCCUUACUCUUUAAUUAUUUAAUUAUGAUUAUUUAUUGUUCGUUGUUUAACUCUAACUUUAUAUUUGUUAAUUAACUUAAUUAAAAUCCCCAAAAGAUGAACC